GACGAACGCUGGCGGCGUGCCUAAUACAUGCAAGUCGAACGAACCGCGACUAGGUGCUUGCCCUUGGUCAAGGUGAGUGGCGAACGGGUGAGUAACACGUGGGUAACCUACCUCAUAGUGGGGGAUAACAGUCGGAAACGACUGCUAAUACCGCAUAGGACAUAGGAUCACAUGAUCCAGUGAGGAAAGGUGGCGCAAGCUAUCGCUAAGAGAUGGACCCGCGGUGCAUUAGCUAGUUGGUAGGGUAAAGGCCUACCAAGGCGAUGAUGCAUAGCCGACCUGAGAGGGUGAUCGGCCACAUUGGGACUGAGACACGGCCCAAACUCCUACGGGAGGCAGCAGUAGGGAAUCUUCCGCAAUGGACGCAAGUCUGACGGAGCAACGCCGCGUGAGUGAAGAAGGUCUUCGGAUCGUAAAGCUCUGUUGUUAGAGAAGAACAGCGCAUAGAGUAACUGUUAUGCGUGUGACGGUAGCUAACCAGAAAGCCACGGCUAACUACGUG
RNAcentral lists this ribosomal RNA (502 nucleotides) under uncultured bacterium. Its description in RNAcentral is "partial 16S ribosomal RNA". It matches the Rfam family "Bacterial small subunit ribosomal RNA", at positions 28 to 507 of the family's 1533-position model. The record is from RNAcentral.